Molecule: ribosomal RNA, 448 nt
Filed under: uncultured bacterium
Lineage: Bacteria
Description: bacterial SSU rRNA
Rfam family: Bacterial small subunit ribosomal RNA
Source: RNAcentral
CACAUGCAAGUCGAGGGCAGCAUGGUCUUAGCUUGCUAAGGCCGAUGGCGACCGGCGCACGGGUGAGUAACACGCAUCCAACCUGCCGUCUACUCUUGGACAGCCUUCUGAAAGGAAGAUUAAUACAAGAUGGCAUCAUGAGUUCACAUGUUCACAUGAUUAAAGGUAUUCCGGUAGACGAUGGGGAUGCGUUCCAUUAGAUAGUAGGCGGGGUAACGGCCCACCUAGUCUUCGAUGGAUAGGGGUUCUGAGAGGAAGGUCCCCCCACAUUGGAACUGAGACACGGUCCAAACUCCUACGGGAGGCAGCAGUGAGGAAUAUUGGGCAAUGGGCGCAAGCCUGACCCAGCAACGCCGCGUGAAGGAAGAAGGCUUUCGGGUUGUAAACUUCUUUUAAGAGGGAAGAGCAGAAGACGGUACCUCUUGAAUAAGCCACGGCUAACUACGUG